RNAcentral lists this ribosomal RNA (465 nucleotides) under uncultured bacterium. Its description in RNAcentral is "bacterial SSU rRNA". It matches the Rfam family "Bacterial small subunit ribosomal RNA", at positions 28 to 487 of the family's 1533-position model. The record is from RNAcentral.
GAUGAACGCUAGCGGGAGGCUUAACACAUGCAAGUCGAGCGGGAAGGGUAGCAAUACCCUGAGAGCGGCGCACGGGUGCGUAACGCGUAUGUAACCUGCCUUAUACAGGGGGAUAGCCCAUGGAAACGUGGAUUAACACCCCAUAGGACUGGAAUUUCGCAUGGGAAUUCAGUUAAAAUUACGGUGGUAUAAGAUGGGCAUGCGUCUGAUUAGGUAGUUGGUAGGGUAACGGCCUACCAAGCCGACGAUCAGUAGGGGUUCUGAGAGGAUUACCCCCCACACUGGUACUGAGACACGGACCAGACUCCUACGGGAGGCAGCAGUGAGGAAUAUUGGUCAAUGGGCGAGAGCCUGAACCAGCCAUCCCGCGUGCAGGAUGACGGCCCUAUGGGUUGUAAACUGCUUUUUCCUGCUCCCAAAGAAACCCUGAUUUACGAGUAAAUCAGUUGACGGUAGAGUAGGAAU